This 1137-nucleotide long non-coding RNA is filed under the name Heterocephalus glaber (naked mole-rat). RNAcentral's name for it is "lncRNA (ENSHGLG00000032897.1)". The record is from RNAcentral. Lineage: Eukaryota; Metazoa; Chordata; Mammalia; Rodentia; Bathyergidae.
GUUAUUAACCUGUGACAAAAUACGUGUAUAUGUUACAUCUGUAGACAUACACAUACAUUGCCAUUUUUAUAUUCUAAUAGUAUUAUAAUUACAUUUUGGAAACCAGAACUCAGAAAUCUGUGCUCUUGCUAUAAAUCUUUCAGUUGACCUCGUGGGUCUACUCAAGCUGUAAUUUUUUACUUAAAAUUUUUUUUCUUUCUUUUUUUUUUAGGGUCCUCCUGGUCCAAAAGGUGAUAAGGGGGAACAAGGUGAUCAGGGACCUCGGCAGAUAAAAGGUGUACCAUGACUCAGCAUUGUGAGAAGAGGGACAUUCUUUUGUUCUUCUCCAACGCGGUCCUUAAAACCAUUACAACCAAUACCGAAUGCUUUGUUGUUACCUUGGCAGUGCCAAGUCUGCCGCCGCGCAUCUGUGGAUGAUUACCCGAAUGUUCAGACAUACUGUUCCAAUGAUGUAGUGGCUCUGUUGAGACAUACCUUUCAAUUUUCUCAUGUCACUAUGCACAACAGCGAGUAAUUGGUUGAAGAGUGUAAUUUUUUACAGUGAAAAAGCACAUUUAAAACUUUCAGGUUGAAACAAACUGUGUAGGUCUUUAUGUAAAAUGCACCAUGCUUAACUAUUGAAUGUGUUUGUACUAUAGAGAUUUCUUCUUUUUGCAGAAGAUUCAGUUGAUGUACACUUGAAAGCUUUAUCCCCUCAUGUGUCUUAAACCUGUUAAAGGUUAUGCUGUAUUUCUUUUCUUUCUAGUCUUCAUGUAGAAAUGAGGAUUAGACCUCAGCAUUCAGUUUCUCAUGGUGAUUAUUCUAGCUGAUGACUAGCAUCAAGUUAAAAGCCCAUCUUAAUGGUCAAGGAAAUUAAAUAUCAUGCCGUCUGCUGUCGUAGAUGGGAGUGGAAUAAAACUCAGCCCUAAAUGAUGAGACUGCAGAUUAUGGUUCUCUGUAGGUGGUGAUUAUUUCACAGGGCACGCCGCGCCUCACAUCGAGUAGCAUUUCUUUCUACACACAGCAUCAAAAUGGCUCAGCUUGCCCUUUCCAGGUAAGAGGGAAACUGUUUCCAUUCUGAGAAAUCUUUUGGCAAAGAAAGGAAGGGAUGGCUCACAGCUUGGCCGUCAUCGGCGCCCACACAGUCCUCGUUUUCAC